GCGGCGAUAGCUCAGUGGGUAAAGCGCCAGGUGAGUAGAUGGCGAUUACUCCGACAGCUAUUAUCCGCGCGGGUUCGAAUCCCACCUGUGGCA
This 93-nucleotide transfer RNA is filed under the name Aromia moschata. RNAcentral describes it as "tRNA-OTHER". The record is from RNAcentral. Lineage: Eukaryota; Metazoa; Arthropoda; Insecta; Coleoptera; Cerambycidae.